CACCCGAUAGGGUUUCCUUCUCUCCUUCUGACCUUUGGCGGCGGCUCCUUCCUCUACAGCUCCGAUCUGUGCCCCUCCUCGUCGGGCUCAACUCUCCUUCCUCCUCUGGCGCAACAGCAAGUAGCGAGGUGUCCCUGCUCUGAUGGAUCCUAUGAAAAGAGCUACAUCAGAUGAUCCAGUUUGGAAGUAUGGGUUUUGGCCAGAUUUAGAGAGGAAAGAUUUACUCCAGUGUACAUUUUGUGGAAAGAUCGUCCAUGCUGGCAUGAGAAGGCUCAAGCAACACCUUUCUGGGGGUUGCAGUGAUGCAGAUAUGUGUCCCGAGGCAUCCAUGAAGAUUAUGAUAGAGAUGCGCAAAUCCUUAAACACUAGAAAGUUUAAAGCUAUGGAGCGAUAUAUUGAUGAGAAGCAUGAAGCUGAAGUUUUUCCUGUGGAUGAACAUGUCGAAUGGCUUAGCCAAAAAUAUUGUUUUAUCUCACAACCGUCAGGUAUAUGUACAUGUGGUUUCGUCUGUACGAGUUCCUUAACUAUGUCCCACGUCUUCUUGUUUGCUGCCUC
This is a long non-coding RNA of Aegilops tauschii subsp. strangulata, 555 nucleotides long. RefSeq lists it as uncharacterized. NCBI's taxonomy places the organism in Eukaryota, Viridiplantae, Streptophyta, Magnoliopsida, Poales, Poaceae. The record is from RefSeq and is a predicted model, not a curated record.